UUUGUAGAAGGCGCUUCGGGCGCCUCCCCGGCCCAAGUCCCUUGGAAUAGGGCGUCGCAGAGGGUGAGAAUCCCGUACGCGGCCGGUGGACAGCCCGUGUGAAGCCCUUUCGACGAGUCGAGUUGUUUGGGAAUGCAGCUCUAAAUGGGUGGUAAAUUUCAUCUAAAGCUAAAUAUCUGCCGGAGACCGAUAGCGCACAAGUAGAGUGAUCGAAAGAUGAAAAGCACUUUGAAAAGAGAGUUAAACAGUACGUGAAAUUGUUGAAAGGGAAGCGCUUGCAACCAGACUCGUUCGCGGGUGCUCAACCGUCCCUCGGGGCGGUGCACUCUCCCGCGCUUCGGGCCAGCAUCGGUUCUGGCGGCCGGACAACGGCCCCGGGAAUGUAACUCUCUUCGGGGAGUAUUAUAGCCCGGGGUGCAAUGCGACCAGCCGGGACCGAGGACCGCGCAUCUGCCAGGAUGCUGGCGUAAUGGUUGCCAGCGACCCGUCUUGAAACACGGA
This 501-nucleotide ribosomal RNA is filed under the name Ocellularia pulchella. RNAcentral describes it as "eukaryotic LSU rRNA". It matches the Rfam family "Eukaryotic large subunit ribosomal RNA", at positions 149 to 665 of the family's 3401-position model. The record is from RNAcentral. Lineage: Eukaryota; Fungi; Ascomycota; Lecanoromycetes; Ostropales; Graphidaceae.